UGGGGAGUAUUGCACAAUGGGCGCAAGCCUGAUGCAGCCAUGCCGCGUGUGUGAAGAAGGCCUUCGGGUUGUAAAGCACUUUCAGCGAGGAGGAAGGGUAGUGUGUUAAUAGCACAUUGCAUUGACGUUACUCGCAGAAGAAGCACCGGCUAACUCCGUGCCAGCAGCCGCGGUAAUACGGAGGGUGCAAGCGUUAAUCGGAAUUACUGGGCGUAAAGCGCACGCAGGCGGUUUGUUAAGUCAGAUGUGAAAUCCCCGCGCUUAACGUGGGAACUGCAUUUGAAACUGGCAAGCUAGAGUCUUGUAGAGGGGGGUAGAAUUCCAGGUGUAGCGGUGAAAUGCGUAGAGAUCUGGAGGAAUACCGGUGGCGAAGGCGGCCCCCUGGACAAAGACUGACGCUCAGGUGCGAAAGCGUGGGGAGCAAACA
This 427-nucleotide ribosomal RNA is filed under the name uncultured bacterium. RNAcentral describes it as "partial 16S ribosomal RNA". It matches the Rfam family "Bacterial small subunit ribosomal RNA", at positions 355 to 774 of the family's 1533-position model. The record is from RNAcentral.